GCAGGUGUGACACCAUUUAUGACCUCUGCUCAGUCUGGCGAUAUUUCCAAUGUGAAGUAUUUAUUUGAUCAUGGUGGUGAUCUAAUGAAGGCAGAUGCACAAGGACGUAAUGUUCUACGCUAUGCCGUGUGCACAGGAAGCUCUACAGUAACAGAGUUCCUGCUUUCAAAAGGAAUACCUGUUGACAUAGACUUUGGUGAUGGGACACCACUUUAUCAUGCUUCUAUCAAUGAGUAGGAUAAGACCGUGAAGAUUUUGUUGAACCAUCAUGCAAAUCCCAACACCAUCUUCUGUGGCGUUGGAACUCCCCUGAAUGGUGCUCUUAUUUACCGUUCAUUGAAGUGCAUGAAGCUACUCAUUAAGGCCAGUAUUUUUUUUACUCUCUCCGUUCAACUACCACUAUGCUAGCUACAAUUUUGCUUACUGAAACCAUCUGUGCCAUCCCCCCCCCCCCCCCCCCCUUUAAAUUCUACUGUACAAUCCUUUUGACAGGCUGGUGCUGAUGUUAAUGGCAAAUGUUCUGUUGUGUCUCCUCUAGUGUUUGCUACAGGGCACAGAGGAUAUACCAACUUCAUUCGCUUACUGUUAAAGGCUGGAGCUGACCCUAAUAUUCCAGAUGAUUUGGGUAAUUUGCCAAUUGAGACGUGAUUGCCGAGAAGAAGUUGAAAUGCUGUUUCCCUUGACCUCACCAAUUCCAAAUGUCAGAAACCGGAGUAUUGACGGAAUAAUCUCUCAUGCCAAAUUGGAAAAUGCAAAGCCAAUGGCGUUGAACAACACGGAGGACCUUGGAGAUUUGCUUAACUCUAGUGCAGACUCCAAAUCGGCUCGUGAAGGUGCAAGGCGCGCCAGUCAAUUUGACCUGAAAAUUGAUAAGAAAGAAGAACAUGUCAAAGUAAGAAAAGCUACAAUGAGGUCGCUGGCAGAUAAGGCAUUUAGGUAGAAAGAGUAUGCCAUGGCAUCAAAGAUUUAUACUGAGGUGAUAGAUUGUGAUGGACUAGACGCUACCCUAUAUUCCAACCGGAGCCUCUGUAAACUGAAACUGGGUGAUGGCAAAGGUGCCCUGUCAGAUGCUUACCGGUGCAGGACGCUGCGACCUGACUGGGCAAAGGCUUGCUAUCGUCAGGCUAAAGCUCACAUGCUACUCAAGGAGUACAAGCAAGCAUGUGACGCUCUCCUGGAUGCGCAAAAAUUGGAUCCCGGAAAUGAGGAGAUUGAGAGAGCGCUAAGUAAGGCAAUUGAAUUGAUGAAGAUCUCCCCUGAUGAAGAUGAGGAAUGAAGCACGGCCGUCUGAAAUGAGUAGCGACCAGCUGGGACAAACGUUGUUGCCUGGUUAUAAAAUACAAAGUAGCAUUUUGUCAUCUGGGCCAAACGUUGUUUCAUUUCGGAUUCGACUUCUUUUUCCCUUUUUGGUUUCCUAUUUUUGCUCGGAGCAUGGCCAGCUGACGUGGAAGUCUGGCAAGUUGAAGCGCGGGUUUCUUUCUUGAGCUAGUUAUUAGUCUAUGACCGAACAAAACAUGCGCUCGCUAAGACAUGCAAGUUUCUGUCAACUUAUCGCCAAGUCAUUGGAAUUUCCCGUGA
Molecule: RNA transcript, 1578 nt
Organism: Setaria italica (foxtail millet)
Lineage: Eukaryota; Viridiplantae; Streptophyta; Magnoliopsida; Poales; Poaceae
Gene name: hsp70-Hsp90 organizing protein 1-like
Exons: 9
Source: RefSeq, a predicted model, not a curated record